Molecule: ribosomal RNA, 226 nt
Filed under: uncultured Pseudomonadota bacterium
Lineage: Bacteria; Pseudomonadati; Pseudomonadota
Description: uncultured proteobacterium partial 16S ribosomal RNA
Rfam family: Bacterial small subunit ribosomal RNA
Source: RNAcentral
UUUGAAGCUUUCGCUACUAGAUGAGCCUGCGUAAGAUUAGCUUGUUGGUGAGGUAACUGCUCACCAAGGCUACGAUCUUUAGCUGGUCUGAGAGGAUGAUCAGCCACAUUGGGACUGAGACACGGCCCAAACUCCUACGGGAGGCAGCAGUGGGGAAUAUUGCACAAUGGGCGCAAGCCUGAUGCAGCCAUGCCGCGUGUAUGAAGAAGGCCUUCGGGUUGUAAAG